Molecule: ribosomal RNA, 492 nt
Filed under: uncultured bacterium
Lineage: Bacteria
Description: partial 16S ribosomal RNA
Rfam family: Bacterial small subunit ribosomal RNA
Source: RNAcentral
AGUGAACGCUGGCGGUAGGCCUAACACAUGCAAGUCGAACGGCAGCACAGUAAGAGCUUGCUCUUACGGGUGGCGAGUGGCGGACGGGUGAGGAAUACAUCGGAAUCUACUUUUUCGUGGGGGAUAACGUAGGGAAACUUACGCUAAUACCGCAUACGACCUACGGGUGAAAGCAGGGGAUCUUCGGACCUUGCGCGAUUGAAUGAGCCGAUGUCGGAUUAGCUAGUUGGCGGGGUAAAGGCCCACCAAGGCGACGAUCCGUAGCUGGUCUGAGAGGAUGAGCAGCCACACUGGAACUGAGACACGGUCCAGACUCCUACGGGAGGCAGCAGUGGGGAAUAUUGGACAAUGGGCGCAAGCCUGAUCCAGCCACACCGCGUGGGUGAAGAAGGCCUUCGAGUUGUAAAGCCCUUUUGUUAGGAAAGAAAAGCAGCAGGUUAAUACCCCGCUGUUCUGACGGUACCCAAAGAAUAAGCACCGGCUAACUUCGUG